Molecule: non-coding RNA, 45 nt
Organism: Schistosoma mattheei
Lineage: Eukaryota; Metazoa; Platyhelminthes; Trematoda; Strigeidida; Schistosomatidae
Source: Rfam
AUCUAGCUAACCAGUCCCAAAUAGGACGAAACACGCAUCCUGGAU